CUUUUUGAGUGAGUCUAAUUGGUUUGAACAUUGUUGUUUGUAGUUUGUAGUUUCCUCUUAACUGAAGGCUUACUUCACUUUACUUUGAAGAAUCCUAUGCAUAUUGAUGAAGCCAGUGCGAGGGCUGUGAACUUCGAAAUGGAGAGAAAUUUGACAAAAUGACCUUAAAUCAUUCAUGGGCAGACUGUACAUAUUGGGGGCUUAGUUAGACUGUAUCUAGUUCUUGCAUCAGUAGAAACAAUCUAUGUCACUGUCUGGGCAUCACCAAGUGUUUCUCUUCAUCUAGGGAAGGCAGAAAAUGCCGAUGAGUUCAAGAACAACCAUGCUGGAGUGAGAUUGCAGCCUCCCAUUUCCAUGGAGCGAGUUUCUGAGUUGGGACAAUGGCAAAAGCAGGAAGUAAAAGCACGUGGAACGAGCUGGGAUGUCAAGAGCAUGGAUGUUGCAGUUGCUGGCUUAGGAUGGUUCUCCCUAGGUUUGAAAGGUGAAGCAGAUUUAGCGUUGUGGACAUAUGAUGGCAUUCAGAUCACAUUGCGUGAACCAUUGGUACUUGAUCGUGCAGCCUCUAUCGAAAGACCUGGAUUUUGGCUACCAAAGGCUAUAUCAGAGGCCAUCGUAACUCAUCGAAGCUUGAAGGUCAAGAAACAAGGGAAAAAUAUCCAUCAGAGGAGACAAUGCAACUUUCAUAAGUAUCCGACUAAAAGAGGCAGCUGAGUUAAUUUUCUUGUGAACAUUUCUAUUGUACAAGGUCUUGUAUGGCGACUUAAAAUGGGCAGGUUGGAUUGAAUAUGAGCGGAUUGAA
RNA transcript from Solanum stenotomum, 799 nucleotides. It is a transcript of the gene named GTP-binding protein BRASSINAZOLE INSENSITIVE PALE GREEN 2, chloroplastic-like, with no coding region annotated. NCBI's taxonomy places the organism in Eukaryota, Viridiplantae, Streptophyta, Magnoliopsida, Solanales, Solanaceae. The record is from RefSeq and is a predicted model, not a curated record. The transcript has 3 exons.